This is a long non-coding RNA of Bos taurus (domestic cattle), 928 nucleotides long. NCBI's taxonomy places the organism in Eukaryota, Metazoa, Chordata, Mammalia, Artiodactyla, Bovidae. The record is from Ensembl.
AUUUGGGAAGGGCCUCUUUCUGCCCCCUGCCCGCUCUGCUUUUCCUCCUUCUUCCAUCCUACGAAGGGCUCCAGCAGCUGUCCUGGACCAUGAGGUGGCCUUGAGGAAGAAGCCACAAGCUAGGAGGGAGGAGCAGAAAGAUAGGGACCUGAGCCCCUGAUGACACCACAGAGCCGCCAUACUUGUCCUGCAUGGCCAACGUGUAGAUCUGGACACGAGAGAGAUAAGCUUCUGUCUUGUGCAAGCUACCACCCCCACCGAAGUCCCAUGUGAAUAUCCAGUACCCCAAGGACACUUGCAAUGUCACACUGGCCUCACGCUUUCACUUUCUGAUGAACGUGGCCUUGACACAUCUCCAACUGACACCUGUUGAAACAAAUGUACCUUUCCAUCCUACAGGACGUCCACAUAUAACAAAAGACAUGAUUACACCGUAGAUGAGGAAACUGAGGCACAGAAAAGGAUGAGGAUGAGCCAGAAUUCAAAGCCAGGCAGUCUGAUUCUGAGCCUAUCCACUCAACCACCUUGCACAGCUCCCUCUAAUGCAAAGACCCCUCAUAAGGGCCAGGAGUUUUACUAACAUUGCCAGAAGUCUCGCAGCAAACUGGGGGCCUCACACACGAUCUAGCCGCACAUUAGAACCAGCUGAGAAGGCUGUAAAGCACACCUAGGCCUGGAGCAAACACCAUAAUGGGUUGUCAUCUGGGGACUCGAAUGAAGAGUGAUGCGGAAGCCCUGCGCUCUCCUUGUACUGUUUUUGUACCUCUCAAGUUUCAUCAAAAUUUUUUUUAAAAAGUGAAAGUAACUAAAGAACGUAGUAGGACAAUAUUAGCUGACCUGGAGGGAUUUCUCCAGGAAUUGUUAGCAAGAGGUGCUAAUAAAAGUGUUACUUACAAGAUCCAGAAACGUGCGUGUGUGUGAUGUGAUC